Molecule: ribosomal RNA, 465 nt
Filed under: uncultured bacterium
Lineage: Bacteria
Description: partial 16S ribosomal RNA
Rfam family: Bacterial small subunit ribosomal RNA
Source: RNAcentral
GACGAACGCUGGCGGCGUGCUUAACACGUGCAAGUCGAACGGAAAGGCCCUGCUUGCAGGGUACUCGAGUGGCGAACGGGUGAGUAACACGUGGGUGAUCUGCCCUGCACUUCGGGAUAAGCCUGGGAAACUGGGUCUAAUACCGGAUAGGAGCCAUUUUUAGUGUGAUGGUUGGAAAGUUUUUUCGGUGUAGGAUGAGCUCGCGGCCUAUCAGCUUGUUGGUGGGGUAAUGGUCUACCAAGGCGGCGACGGGUAGCCGGCCUGAGAGGGUGGACGGCCACAUUGGGACUGAGAUACGGCCCAGACUCCUACGGGAGGCAGCAGUGGGGAAUAUUGCACAAUGGGCGCAAGCCUGAUGCAGCGACGCCGCGUGGGGGAUGACGGCCUUCGGGUUGUAAACUCCUUUCGCUAGGGACGAAGCUUUUUGUGACGGUACCUAGAUAAGAAGCACCGGCUAACUACGUG